UCCCCUCGCUCUCCUCUCCUCACAGCGCCUCCUCCUCUCCAAUCCCAAACCCUAACCCUUCAUCGACGGCGCCAUCACCCGCGGCUUCUCCCCUUCAUCGACGGCGCCAUCGCCCGCGGCCUCUCCCCUUCAUCGACGGCGCCAUCGCCCGCGGCCUCUCCCCUUCAUCGACGGUGCCAUCUCGUCCGAGUACGAGCUGGAGGAGCACGUGUACGUCGGGGACGCAGCAAGGCCAGCACGCCAUCGGUCCCGUCUUCCCUGGUUCCUCGCCGAGCGCCACGAAGAGGAAGAGAGAAUGGUGAAGGAGAAGGGGAAUGAGAAGGGAAAGGGUGCUGGUAAGGAGAAUGGGAAGCCGAAGGGUGCUGGUAAGGAGAAUGGGAAGGCAAAGGCAAAGGAAAAGAGCUUGAAUUACCUAAUUAGGCAAGAUUCGGCGCUGCCUCCUCUAGUUCCGAGGAAGAAGAGCAAACCUAAGGUGCAGAUUAAGAAGGCGAAAGACUUUCCCAAUGCCCCAAUGGGAGAGUUAAUUUGUAGAUGACUACAGGAGUUCGUUAAAACCGGUUAUGGUGGAGGCAUUAGUUUGUGGUGCAAGUUAUAUCAAGGGUGCUCACGUUGACUUGAAUCUGGUGCCGAGGGAUGAGAAUGAAGAGGAUGAUGUUGAAACCACCAAGUUACCCAUCGUGGAGGAGAUCAACGAUUGACACUCAUCAUGUGGAUGUUGAUCUUGAUCUUGCUAUUUUGGAGACGAAUGUCAAAGUGAUCUUUCUCAUGGGAAGGCUACUUUUGCAUUUGGGUUAUGUUCGAACUUGUAAGUCAUGAACUGUGAAAUGUCACAACUAGCUUGGAGAUGAACCUCUCAUUUGUGUUAUGUUCAACUUGCCAAUUGACAUGGACUUGAAAUUGUCAUUGCAAGUUUGUAAUCGUGUCGUUCAAUGAUGAUAAGACAUUAUGUUUGUGGAUGUGGUAUUUGUGUUGCUUAACCUGAUUUGUGCU
RNA transcript from Triticum dicoccoides, 990 nucleotides. RefSeq lists it as uncharacterized. The transcript is spliced from 5 exons. Lineage: Eukaryota; Viridiplantae; Streptophyta; Magnoliopsida; Poales; Poaceae. The record is from RefSeq and is a predicted model, not a curated record.